CAGGGAGACAACAAAAUGUUUAAUAUUAUUAUUUUGUCACCUUAGGUCGAUCGGUAUCUCACGUUCUUAAAUUAAUUAAGAAUUUCAAUUCCUAAGUUUUUCUAGGUCACACCCAUUAUUUUUCCUGGGCCAUUAGCUCAGGUGGUUAGAGCGCACCCCUGAUAAGGGUGAGGUCCCUGGUUCAAGUCCAGGAUGGCCCAUAUCUCUAUGUUGGGGGUAUAGCUCAGUUGGUAGAGCGCCUGCUUUGCAAGCAGGAUGUCAGCGGUUCGAGUCCGCUUACCUCCACUGAUUACCACCUCUUCCAUAAUCUGUAGAAAGGAAAUUUUUUGAGUUGUGAUCAAUUUCUGGACUAAUCUAGCUUCCUAAUGAAAGCAUUAAGAUGCUGGACUCAUUGAAUUAAUUUCAUUGUUUUCAGAGAGCCUUGACAACUGCAUAGAUUAUUUUUAAAGACAAUAAGCAUCUUUAAUGAUGCAGAUUUAUUAUUUGUGCAAAUGCAUUAAUAACAAUUCUAUUAAGCUGAAGCUUCAAUUUUGAAGUUAUU
This 541-nucleotide transfer RNA is filed under the name uncultured cyanobacterium. Its description in RNAcentral is "partial 16S-23S ribosomal RNA intergenic spacer". The stretch from base 213 to 285 matches the Rfam family "tRNA". Lineage: Bacteria; Bacillati; Cyanobacteriota. The record is from RNAcentral.